GUGGGGAAUAUUGGACAAUGGGCGAAAGCCUGAUCCAGCCAUGCCGCGUGUGUGAAGAAGGUCUUCGGAUUGUAAAGCACUUUAAGUUGGGAGGAAGAGUAGUAACCUAAUACGUUGCUACUUUGACGUUACCGACAGAAUAAGCACCGGCUAACUUCGUGCCAGCAGCCGCGGUAAUACGUAGGGUGCAAGCGUUAAUCGGAAUUACUGGGCGUAAAGCGCGCGUAGGUGGUUUUGUAAGUUGGAGGUGAAAUCCCCGGGCUCAACCUGGGAACUGCCUCCAAAACUGCAUGACUAGAGUACGGUAGAGGGUAGUGGAAUUUCCUGUGUAGCGGUGAAAUGCGUAGAUAUAGGAAGGAACACCAGUGGCGAAGGCGACUACCUGGACUGAUACUGACACUGAGGUGCGAAAGCGUGGGGAGCAAACAGGAUUAGAUACCCCAGUAGUCC
This 450-nucleotide ribosomal RNA is filed under the name uncultured bacterium. RNAcentral's name for it is "partial 16S ribosomal RNA". It matches the Rfam family "Bacterial small subunit ribosomal RNA", at positions 354 to 796 of the family's 1533-position model. The record is from RNAcentral.